CUCUCGGCAACGGAUAUCUCGGCUCUCGCAUCGAUGAAGAACGUAGCGAAAUGCGAUACCUGGUGUGAAUUGCAGAAUCCCGCGAACCAUCGAGUCUUUGAACGCAAGUUGCGCCCGAGGCCAUUCGGCUGAGGGCACGCCUGCCUGGGCGUCACGCAAAACA
This 163-nucleotide ribosomal RNA is filed under the name Agrostis stolonifera. RNAcentral's name for it is "5.8S ribosomal RNA". It matches the Rfam family "5.8S ribosomal RNA". Rfam says of the family: 5.8S ribosomal RNA (5.8S rRNA) is a component of the large subunit of the eukaryotic ribosome. It is transcribed by RNA polymerase I as part of the 45S precursor that also contains 18S and 28S rRNA. Lineage: Eukaryota; Viridiplantae; Streptophyta; Magnoliopsida; Poales; Poaceae. The record is from RNAcentral. RNAcentral also lists the same sequence under 1 other name.